This 1064-nucleotide long non-coding RNA is filed under the name Ananas comosus (pineapple). Its description in RNAcentral is "long non-coding RNA (ACOM_LNC021307)". The record is from RNAcentral. Lineage: Eukaryota; Viridiplantae; Streptophyta; Magnoliopsida; Poales; Bromeliaceae.
CCACGUGACGUACAGACCUGCCACAAAUACAAAGUUCCUCUGUCCACUCGGACAGAGUCUCCUUUGUAUUUGCACGGCGUACCAACAACAUCAACAGGAUCACAACCACAAUCUACAAUUACCAAUCAACAGCCAUUACAUGAUAUGCAUUUUCAUACAGCUAACGAUCCUUAGAGAUGAUGCAUGCCUCUAAGCACUCCUUAGGCGCUGGAUGAUACAAUGCACAGUACAACAAUCAUCCUAUUUAAAAGUGCUCCCCACCCGGAAGCUUUAUUUUUAAACUCUAGUUCAAUCAUCCAUGAAAACCAUUCCAAAAUCUUUUUAAAAUUGUUUCCCACACGGAAACUCUAUUUUAAAAACCAGCUACCUCGAGGGGUAGAAAACAACAAUGCGUAAAUCCAUAAAUGCGAGAACCAAAAACCACAGAUCCACAAUUAUCCGUUCACAUGCAUGAAUAAUGAAAAUAUCCACAAAACCAAUCCACGAACAGGCAAACAAUCAUAGAGAUUAUCUAACUGAACCAUUUAUUAAUAAACUACUAAAUGCGAAAAUAAAAGUAACCUGGGUGACAGUCGCUACGGCAAGCUAGCUAGAUCGUCCUCUCGUCGUGCCCAAAAGCCAACUCCUUGCCCGAAAUACCUGGGGGAAUGGGGGGAGGGUGAGAAACCGCAACCAUGGUUUCUCAGUGGGUACGACAGAGCCACGAAGGCAAGUCGUAAUCACCGGAAACCAAAGGAGAUAGAUAAACGAGUAUAUAUGCUGAUAUGAAAAGUCUACAGUAGCUACAAUAGAUAAAUAAGAAGCAAUAAACAAACCUACUACUGUAUAGAUAAUAAUGCAAAGAAUGCCUCAAAGUACUGAACAGAAACUGUACCCAAUCUGUGCCUGCUGUAUUGGUCCGCAGACCUCAAGCGCUGCCUGUCACUAACUGCACCGACCUGAUCCAUCCGCCCCGCAGGACGACCUAUCCGGAUAAGUACACCUCCGAUCGGUGGCCAAACCGAUCCGGUGUCAUGAAUACCCCCAAGUGCUGUGACUAAGUCAAUGCUGGUAUGCUCAAACAA